GUCGCAUUCACCCCCGUGGGUCUGCGGGCGCCCCAGACCCCAGAGGACCCGGCCCCCAACGCUUACCUGUCCCCUCUCCUGUCCCUCCCCCAUUCCAGCCCCUUCUCUCCCCAGCCGUUGCCCCUCCCCGCACCCCGCCGCGUCCGCGCGCCUCUCUCCGCGCGCACCGCCAACCCGCCCCCUUUUCUCUGGGAACCGCUCCUUCCGCUCCGCCCGCCUGGAGUCCUUCUGGCCGGAUUCCGCGGCAUCCUUCCAUAGACCCUCGUUGUUGCUUCCUCCUUGUGGUUCCGUUGCAAACAUUUUUAAAGGGCUGGUUAUUCUUCGUGAAAUGAGUUUGGUGAUUAGAAAUCUGCAGCGAGUCAUCCCCAUCAGGAGAGCGCCACUUCGCAGUAAGAUCGAGAUUGUAAGGAGGAUUUUAGGAGUGCAGAAAUUUGACCUGGGGAUCAUCUGUGUUGACAACAAGAAUAUUCAGCACAUUAAUAGAAUCUACAGAGAUAGAAAUGUCCCAACCGAUGUGCUUUCUUUUCCAUUUCAUGAGCAUCUGAAAGCAGGUGAAUUUCCCCAGCCUGAUUUUCCAGAUGACUACAAUUUGGGAGACAUUUUCCUAGGAGUGGAGUAUAUCUUCCAUCAGUGUAAAGAAAAUGAAGAUUACAAUGACAUCCUGACUGUAAGCGGGGAUGCUGAAAUCAUAUAACCUGGCUCAUGGAACAUGGGCCUUGCAAAGGGGUCAAGAUCACAACCCUGCAUCCAUGUGUGUCCGUGGGUACCGUAAGGGCUACUGGGGGAAGAACCUGUAAGCAGGGUGUGAGGAGCACCCUGGCUGGGUAGGGACUGCAUGCCCCAUGCCACAGUUGAAGGAGGGAGAGAACACGCUGUGAAAACACAGAAGCUCCCAGAGAAGCCUUCUCAGCUUUUAUCUCUGGAGUAGAGCAGACUAUGUUGAGCUAACACAGACCUGCUGGAUCAGCUUCUUUCUGAGCUGCCAGAAGUACAGAGGUUGGAGCCUCCACCACCUUCCAGAUCUGUUUCUCCUCAGUGUAAUCCACCUAUGGGUUCUUCCUGCCCACUGCACAGACAAAACCAAUUCACUGCAAUUGCGGUAUUGCAGUAAAGAGUUUAACACAGAGCUAGCCAAGCAGAAAGGCUGGAGUUAUUAUUCAACUCAAUCUCCCAGAGAACUCAGAGGCUAGGGUUUCUACGGGCAAUUUGGCAGGCAGGGGCUAGGGAAUGCCUGCUGCUGAUCGGCUGCAGAUGGACCAUGGGGUGUCAAUGAUUUUUGUACCCUGAGUCCGCCUCUGGGUGGAGCCACGGGAUCAGCUGAGUCAUGAGUCUCAGGUCCAGGUGGAGUCUGUAGGUUGCCAGAACUCAAAAGUCUGAAAAACAUCCCAAAAGACCAUU
RNAcentral lists this small RNA (1398 nucleotides) under Pan troglodytes (chimpanzee). RNAcentral describes it as "retained intron". The record is from RNAcentral. Lineage: Eukaryota; Metazoa; Chordata; Mammalia; Primates; Hominidae.